CCUUCGGGUUGUAAGCUCUUUGUCAGGGAAGAAACGGUGGUUUCUAAUACAGAUCACUAAUGACGGUACCUGAAGAAUAAGCACCGGCUAACUACGUGC
This 99-nucleotide ribosomal RNA is filed under the name uncultured bacterium. Its description in RNAcentral is "partial 16S ribosomal RNA". The record is from RNAcentral.